GGGGCUGACCGGUUUUGACAGUAGGUGUGAAGAUCGGGCUCGCAUGCAGGCUGGAGUAUGUACGGCCUUAAAUAAUUCAUGCAAAGAUAAUUGGCGAAACUCGUUACGCCAUGGCUGCCUAAUCUAACCCUAAGGGGAUAGAUACUGCUUAAAGGGUUGAGUCUCUAUAGAGAUUCCCCAGCCACAUCUCACCUUCUGUUGUUUUGUCCGGAAGGAUUUGGGGUGUCGACAAGACAGAGCUGCUUUCCGUGAGGCUACUAAGCGGAACUAAGACCAGUGGCUAAGCCAAACAUCGGUGUGUCAUCCAGCAGUGUUUGGUCGAAAAUCCAACAGGUGACUAAGCAUGUAGACGGUACGGUGUUUCCCUAUCUGGACGCGAGUUCGAAUCUCGCCAGCUCCACUA
This is a non-coding RNA of Cecembia lonarensis LW9, 403 nucleotides long. It matches the Rfam family "transfer-messenger RNA". From Rfam's summary of the family: Bacterial tmRNA, also known as 10Sa RNA or SsrA, is named for its dual tRNA and mRNA-like properties. Its role is to liberate the mRNA from a stalled ribosome. The record is from Rfam. NCBI's taxonomy places the organism in Bacteria, Pseudomonadati, Bacteroidota, Cytophagia, Cytophagales, Cyclobacteriaceae.